RNAcentral lists this ribosomal RNA (107 nucleotides) under Candidatus Nomurabacteria bacterium RIFCSPHIGHO2_01_FULL_40_24b. The record is from RNAcentral. Lineage: Bacteria; Candidatus Nomuraibacteriota.
GUUGGUGAUUCGUCGCAAGGGUCACACCUCUUCCCAUUCCGAACAGAGAAGUUAAGCCUUGCCAUACCGAUGAUACUCAUAAUGGGGAAAGUAGGUUAUCGCCAGCA